UAGGGAAUAUUGGACAAUGGGUGAGAGCCUGAUCCAGCCAUGCCGCGUGCAGGAAGAAGGCGUUAUGCGUUGUAAACUGCUUUUUGCCAGGGGAUAAAAAGACCGUGCGCGGUUAAUUGAAGGUACCUGGUGAAUAAGCCACGGCUAACUACGUGCCAGCAGCCGCGGUAAUACGUAGGUGGCAAGCGUUGUCCGGAUUUAUUGGGUUUAAAGGGUGCGUAGGUGGCCCUGUAAGUCAGUGGUGAAAUAUCUCAGCUUAACUGAGAGGGUGCCAUUGAUACUGCAGGGGCUUGAGUACAGAUGAGGUAGGCGGAAUUGACGGUGUAGCGGUGAAAUGCAUAGAUAUCGUCAAGAACACCGAUAGCGAAGGCAGCUUACCAAGCUGUAACUGACACUGAGGCACGAAAGUGUGGGGAUCAAACAGGAUUAGAUACCCUCGUAGUCCCUGAGCGGGCUGGCAAGGCGCAU
This 468-nucleotide ribosomal RNA is filed under the name uncultured bacterium. RNAcentral describes it as "bacterial SSU rRNA". It matches the Rfam family "Bacterial small subunit ribosomal RNA", at positions 355 to 825 of the family's 1533-position model. The record is from RNAcentral.